Molecule: ribosomal RNA, 253 nt
Filed under: uncultured bacterium
Lineage: Bacteria
Description: partial 16S ribosomal RNA
Rfam family: Bacterial small subunit ribosomal RNA
Source: RNAcentral
UACAGAGGUCUCAAGCGUUGUUCGGAUUCAUUGGGCGUAAAGGGUGCGUAGGUGGCGAGGUAAGUUGGAUGUGAAAUCCCAGGGCUCAACCCUGGAACUGCAUUCAAUACUGCCUUGCUAGAGUACUGGAGAGGAGAUUGGAAUUUACGGUGUAGCAGUGAAAUGCGUAGAUAUCGUAAGGAAGACCAGUGGCGAAGGCGGAUCUCUGGAUAGUUCCUGACGCUGAAGCACGAAGGCCAGGGGAGCAAACGGG